UUUUCAAAAAGAAAAAAAAAACAGAAAAAAAAUCUUUCAUAUAUGUGCAAUUGGCACCAGUUGCUAACAAGCGCGGCCCCUGCGGCAAUUAAGGACACCAGCACCAUAAGUCAUUGAUGCAACCAUGGAAGACGACUUGGCACCUAAGCAUGAAGCUCUAGCAUAGCUGGCCGAGGCCCCUGCUCCAGAUGGAGUGAAAUAGGCACCAUUAAGCAUCAGGUCGCCCUCUGAUCUCCAGUUCCAAUUCUUCCACUGGUAUUCAGCAGUUUCAACCCUCUUUGUUACCUGUCAAAACCAGUCCAUUUACAUAAAGGGGGAUCAGUUCAAUGAGGUCAUGGUUAAUAAAAAGUCAUCACUGGGUAGAUGUUGAAUGCUAGUAACUGUAUAUUACCUCCUUUGCAAAAGGAUUGAGCGGGGCGAGGUAACAAUUAUUUCAGAUCUUGAUGGUGCUGCCAUUUAGAUCGGCCAUCUCCUUUAUAUCUCUGCCGGAUACGGAACCAUUGAUUAUGUAAAAGCUUCAAGGAAAAGAUUGUGCGGACGAAAUUGCCCCUCAAAAAGUGACUUUUCAUCUCUCCUAAUGGUACAAAUACACGGAAAGACUAAAACGGUAUAGAUUUACUAGUUUAGUGACAUUUUUGGCCAAUAAAAAAGUUUAGUGAUCAGAACCGGCAUUUCUUAGUGACAUUUCGCGCAAUUUGCUCUUUUGAUUUUUUAUGGCUCUACACGAAGAAUACAUGGCAAUAAUCCAUUUUGUUUUUUGUAUUUGUUCUUAUGGCAAUUAAGGACACCUGCACCAGAAGUCAUUGAUGCGACCAUGGAAGACGACUUGGCACCUAAGCUUGAAGCUCUGGCAUAGCGGGCCGAGGCCCCUGCUCCAGAUGGAGUGAAAUAGGCACCAGUAAGCAUCAGGUCACCCUCUGAUCUCCAAUUCCAAUUCUUCCACUGGUGUUCAACAGUUUCAACCCUCUUUGUUACCUGUCAAAACCAGUCCAUUUACAUCAAGGGGGAUCGGUUCAAUGAGGUCAUGGUUAAUAAAAAGUCAUCACUGGGUAGAUGUUGAAUGCUAGUAGCUAUAUAUUACCUC
This 1084-nucleotide long non-coding RNA is filed under the name Coffea arabica (coffee). RNAcentral's name for it is "long non-coding RNA (CARA_LNC003483)". Lineage: Eukaryota; Viridiplantae; Streptophyta; Magnoliopsida; Gentianales; Rubiaceae. The record is from RNAcentral.